CAUGAAGCUGGAAUUGCUAGUAAUCGUGGAUCAGCAUGCCACGGUGAAUACGUUCCCGGGCCUUGUACACACCGCCGUCACACCAUGAGGGUCGGGAACACCCGAAGUCCGUAGUCUAACCGCAAGGAGGGCGCGGCCGAAGGUGGGUCUGAUAAUUGGGGUNAAGUCGUAACAAGGUAGC
This 181-nucleotide ribosomal RNA is filed under the name uncultured bacterium. RNAcentral's name for it is "partial 16S ribosomal RNA". It matches the Rfam family "Bacterial small subunit ribosomal RNA", at positions 1319 to 1500 of the family's 1533-position model. The record is from RNAcentral.